CGGCUGAGUAAGUUUCCCGUUAAAUCCAGCGUCUCAAGCGUUGGACUGCGGGAAAUACUGCUCGGCUAGAGAGUGGGAGAGGUCAACGGUAUUCUGGGGGUAGGGGCGAAAUCCUUUGAUCCCCGGAGGACCACCAGUGGCGAAGGCUGUUGACAAGAACACGUCUGACGGUCAGGGACGAAAGCUGGGGUAGCGAACCGGAUUAGAUACCCGGGUAGUCCCAGCUGUAAACGAUGCAUGCUAGGUGUUAGGUUGGCCACGUGCCACCCUAGUGCCGCAGGGAAGCCGUUAAGCAUGCCACCUGGGGA
This 308-nucleotide ribosomal RNA is filed under the name uncultured archaeon. RNAcentral's name for it is "bacterial SSU rRNA". It matches the Rfam family "Archaeal small subunit ribosomal RNA", at positions 526 to 834 of the family's 1478-position model. The record is from RNAcentral.